ACCCCACCACGCAGGCGCAUCUCCUUAAAUCCAGUCCCUACACCCCUCCUGUUUCUCUGCAUUAAGUUCCCCCUCCUCUUUCUGCACCUCAGCAGGUUCACACUCUUCUCCGUGAGGGUGGCGGCGAUAGAGAGGUCACGUGAUGAGCAUCUUGCUGCCCAACAUGGCGGAGUUCGACACCAUCUCGGAACUGGAGGAGGAGGAGGAAGAAGAAGCGGCAACGUCGUCGUCGUCGCCGUCGUCGUCGUCGUCGGGAUCAGGGCCUGACGAUGACGAGGAAGAUGAGGAGGAGGAGGAAGAAGAAAACGAAGAGGAGGAGGAGGAAGAAGAGGAGCAGGUGGAGGAAACGCCGCCCCCGCCUCGGGUAGUGAGCGAAGAGCAUCUUCGGAGAUAUGCCCCCGACCCUGUAUUGGUGCGGGGCGCCGGCCACAUCACUGUGUUUGGCUUGAGCAACAAGUUUGAUACUGAAUUUCCCUCAGUUCUAACAGGGAAGGUGGCCCCAGAAGAAUUUAAGACCAGCAUUGGCCGUGUGAAUGCAUGUUUGAAAAAGGCUCUCCCAGUCAAUGUGAAAUGGUUGCUCUGUGGUUGUCUCUGCUGCUGUUGCACAUUGGGUUGCAGCCUGUGGCCCGUUAUUUGUCUCAACAAAAGAGUUUUCUACAUAGACAAUCAUGUCAUCUAUGAACAGUGUUUUUUGUUCUUUGGAGAUUUUAUUUGGGCACACUGUGCAGCUUACAGGAUCUUAGUUUCACAACCAGGGAUCCAACCCAGGCUCCCUGGACCACCAGACCAGAAGAUCAAUUCAGAAGUUGUUAGAAUGGGAAAAUAACAGAUUGUAUCACAAGCUUGCUUUGCACUGGAAGUUGACUAAAAGGAAAUGUGAAACUAGCAAUAUGAUGGAGUAUGUAAUACUAAUAGAAUUCUUACCAAAAUAUCCCAUAUUCCGACCUGACUGAGGGAUUUUAUUCAGUCACUUCUGUUUUACCUGUCAUUUCCUACCCUUAGUGCCUUGUAGAUGAUUUUGGAAUGAAGAUGGUCUCCUUUGCUGUGUUCAUUUAUUCUUUAUAAUGGUAGAAUAUUCUCCUCACACUUUUCAUUUGUGUUGGUUUAAGAAGAAAUUUUGCACAUCCUUUAUGUUGUUGUUAAAUGAGGCUUGUAUUUUGCACUGUCAAUUUUUAAAUAAAUACACAUACAUAUGUGUGUGUGUGUAUAUAUGUAUAUAUGUAUAUAUAUAUAUAUAUAUAUAGUUGCCACUAAAUAUAACAUCAGUGCAGGUGUUUAAAAAACAAAAACAUGUUCUGAGCAUGCUGCCUUAUAAUUUUCAUACUUACUGUUUCUAAAUAUGCAUCAUUUUUCUAGGCUAUUUAAUGCUCUGUAAUCCUUUACUGUACAUACAUAAAUAAGCUUUUGGUAGCUUUUAGAAACGGUUUUACUCUUACCUGCUUUUAAAGGACAUGCAAUUAAUAGCACUGGUUUUGUCCUGCACUUUGCUUAAUUAUCACUUAUGUUAGUGGAUAAAAUAUUUAAACUCCUAAAGACCUGUAAAUAUUGUUUCUUUGCAUAAAGUAAAAAAAUGUGAUAUGCCAUGGUUUACAGAAUGUACUGUUAUUCUUAAUGUAUUGCCAACAAUUCUGCAUAAAUUUUAAUGUGAAUGAAGUUUGCAAGCAUCCUUUUGAAUGUAUAGAUUGUUAACAUGCUGUGUUAUGGCAAAGCCAUAAUAAGUAUGUUAAAAAUUUCAGGUGUGGGCAGGAUGGCCCUUUGUAAUGAGAAGAUUAAAAUUUAAAUCAUUGUCUGAGACCUUCUGCAUUGCACCUGAAACCAAGAACCUUGUUUUUUCCAUUUAGUUCAGUACGUCCCAUUUUGUCCUCCACUUAACAAAAGAACUCAUUUGACAUCUGACACAUUUCACAGCCUCACUCUCCUCAUUUAUUUCCCUUUAUGUAUCCUUUUCUUCACUUGGAAAUACACAGGAUUAUGACCUUUAAGGGUUGUCUCAAGUUUCAGAUGUCUUAGGAAGUAUCUAGACCCCACCCCCAGGAAAGCCACUGCUAACCCGUUUCUGGAGUUAUGAUCCACUUUGAGAAAGAGAGAGAGCUAAUUGAAAAGCUCUACCUAAAGUGGCAGAUUCAUAAUUGAUUAAAUACUCUUAAUCCUCAUUUUGGGGAUCUUUUGUAAAGGUAUGGAUGUUAUUAAUGAGGAAAGACAAGAAUUUAACAAAAAUAUUUUAGUUUCUAAAUUAGCCACACAUGCAGCCUUUUCAUUGGUAUGUGCAUAUUUCUCUAUUUCUCUUCACAUUGGAAUAAGAGCAGACACUCGUAAUUCUUCUAGAAUUUGAGUUUUUAACCUAAUGAAAACUUUACAUUGCAUUAGUUCAACUGCAAAUUAUGCCUGUAUGCAGACACUAUUUGUAAUUUGUAGUGCUGAAAAUAAAAGUAUCUGAGACUGAAUAAUAUUUUAUUUAUUAUUUUAGUCUUAUUGCUAUUAGUUAGCUUUUUUAGGCAAACAUUCAUCCCAGUGAAGAGAGCAAUCAUUUUUUUAUACAAGGGCUUUUAAAGCCACUUUUAAAAUUUAUGCCUAAUUUGAAAUCCGCAGUCCUGGACGAAUAAAAGAAAAGGGAAAAAAAGAGAUUUUUGAUAUGUGAUUAUAAUUGCAUGAACAACUUUUCCACCUCUCUCUGUAGAACCCUGUUACCCCCAUGCCACCCAGAAUCUCUAACUUUUAAUAUAUUGUGUGUGCCUGCAAAUAUCAUUUGUCUGUCUGCUGAAAAAUUGAAGGUGCAUUUUUAUAGACAAAGUGGAAACCUCUGAAAAUGUAUACCAAAUGUCUUGUUUUAUAGAUAAGUUCGGGGAAAAAUUGUAUCUGUGGUUUAUGUUCCAGCUAGUAUCAUCAGGUUUAUGUUUCAAUUUGUGACAGUUUAAUACCAAAAUUGAUUUCCAGCGUAAUACAAAAUUUCUAAUUAUCACUGAUAGAAUAAUUACUUUGAGUCAACCCUUAAAAUCUCAUUUUUUUCCUGUAAACUUAGAAUUUGGCCAUAUGAUGGUCAUAGUAACUUUUUCUGCCAUGUAUAGAUCACACUUGUUUUGCUCAAAGAACAGCAGGAAGUGGUGAAUUGUUUCUAUAAAACUAAUAUUGAGACAGGAAUAGAGUGCAUCUGGAGGUAACAGAGUAUAUAAUUCAAGUUACAGUAGUAUUUGUCAUAAAAAGCAUUUACCAGCAUGUGUAAACUUAAUUUUAAAACCUAUUCUAAUAACUCUUAAAUUUAUUAUCUUAUUAUUCAUUAAUCUGAUUGACUUAUUUUCUUGAACUACUCAGAAAAUACCCAAACUUUUUUCUUUCUUCUAUGACUGCUUUUUCAAGCUCUUUUCCUUUGGAGGGGACUGAUUAGCAGUUGAGUAUUUUUGAGUCCUUCAAGAGAUUUGUUUUCUUUUCAGUGAUAUUGGCAGCAGUGCAUGCUGAAAUGACAGAGUACACUGUGGACAUUAAUUUCUCCCUCACUGACUUUUUUUCUUAUAUCCUCAGGAUAGAACACAUCAAGUUAAUGAAGUAUUUUUGUGCUAGUUGUUUUUAGAUUAAAGAAACAAAUUUGAGGUUUUUUUGUUAUAUAAUACUCAUUUAUGAAACGUGCUAUGGAUGUUUCCAGAGAAAAUAACAUGUAUCUACUGAAAUAUAUAAAUCUUACAAAGUUUUGAGGUUACAAGUUAAAACUGUUCCUUCUCUGACUUUCCAUUAUGCAUCUCUACCCCCAUAAAUUGUGUAUAAAAUGAAAUAAGCUUUAACAUUUUUCAGCUAUUCUUUGACUCUUUCUACCCUCUAUGUUAAUCUAGGAAGAAACCAUUGUAGUCAAAUGUUAGAAGUAGAUGGAGAAGUGCCUUGUCGUCUUUGAAUAAAGAUAACAUUUUAUGUUGAAGGAAGCAGAACAAAUGAAUUGGUAAAUCAUUACAUUAAAACCAUCCUUUUCAGCUAAGUAUAAUAUAAGAAUAUUUUAUUAGUAUAUUGUAUUUCUUCUAUUUCUUAUUUAAAGCCUAUUUCCUGGGUUUUCCCCAACCAUGAGAUGUAUUAGUGACAAAAUAUUACAGAACAGAAGUAUCAGUCACUUAUAAACCUAGUAUAAUUCUAAUGCUAGUAAACAUGUAAUUUAGCAUGGUCCUGAAAAAACAAUAGUCUUUGAUUGAAGCUCUACUAAAGCCUACGGAAGUAUUUAACACACACACUGUUCAUGUUAUCAUGACCUAUAAACACUAAUGUCUGAUCAGUUAAUCAAACUGUUACUAUUUAGCACUCUACCAUUUUAAUGAAAUUUAUUCUUAUUUUAUCAUAGUUUGAGUGAAGUUCCAUAACAUUUGUAAGCCUUCAAACAAAUGGGUUUUUUUUUAAAUGUAAAAUCUCUUUAAAUAUCAUUAGCAUUUUAAUUUUGUUUAUAAAUUACCACUCAAAAAAUCAGACCUCACUACUUAAAGCCUCCAAACAGUUUUUUUAUUAGAAUUGACUAUAUUGACCUGAGAGGGUAUAUAGAAAUUUGUAUACACCCAUUUAAUUGGAACAGUUUCACAUAGUGGGAAUACUUUUUGCUAAUUUGAUAAUAAGAUGCUCAGAUUCACUGAAAUUAAGUCCUCUUAUGCUUAUAAAAUUCUACUUUAAUCCAUUGUGUAACAAUUGUUAAAUCCUUUGGGUUAUUUUAAAUGAUGAACUAUUGGAAAAUUUUCCAUAGAAAGUGAAUAAUGAAUAGAUUUUAUUAAUAAUACCUGUCCAUGUAAUAUGUGGAAUAUAUAUAUAUGUGUGUGUGUGUGUAUUAUAUAUACACAUUUUCCUAUAUUACCCCCAGUUUCUCUUUUCCUGAUUCUGAGCCAGCCUUUUCAUUUUUAUGAUGGCAACCUGGGAAUAUGUUCCAUUUUCUGUGGAAUUUGUCAGAUUCAUACUAUAUGAGGAAAUGAUCUAAUGUGCUCCAGGCAAGUCACUUACAUUACAUGUCAGUCUCUUCAUCUGUAAAAUCAUGAGAUUGAACUUAGAGCUGUACAGAAAAUUAGAGGUCACCUGACAUUCUGUGAUACUAGGAAUCCUUAGGAAGUUUUUACUCUACAGAAUCUCAGAAUGAUUUUUCUCAAAUCUACUACCCUUCAUGGAAAUUCUCACAGUGCCUUGCACACAAUAAAAGUUUGAUUUGCCAACAGGCACCUAGCUGGUAUGUAUUCAUAUCAUACAGACUCAAAGAACCUGAUGCCUGUGAGAUCUCAGCACCUCCUUGGUGAUAAGAAUGAUUGUAGUUUCCCUAGGAACUGAGGACUGAGGUCUAUGGGCUUUACCUAUGUGGAAUCUGACUAUAUAUGCAGUUGGUACCUGAGCAAGAAUUAUGGCUGCAACAGUUGUGGAGGUAUAGUAAGACCCACCUUGACAUUGAUGUGAAAGAGAAUUUUAUAUCCCAUUCAAUAUCUGCUUCAGUGUCUUAAUUAUUUCCAUAUCCUCAAAAACAUCUGUUGGAACAAAUUAAUAUUAGAAAGGAAAGUGAUAUAGAAGUCAAACCCAAGUCACUUCUGGUUUAAUUCUUAGCUCUGCUGCUUAAUUCUUCUGUACCUCAUGUCCUCAUGGUGAAAGUGGGGACAAUAAUCUGGACCUACCUCACAGGGGAAUUGAGGAUUUUUUCAUAUAUAAAUGUGCUUUUGAAAUUGACUGAAGGAUGUAUUGUAUAUCAUGAUUUUGUAAUUUCUAAAUAGAGUCCUUUAAAUCUAUGUUGUUAUGUUUCCUUUCUCAGUCAAACGUUACAGAAUGAGUAUUGCAAUUAAUCUAGUUUUGGUAGUAAUUUUGUUAUUAAUCCCUUAUGUAUUAACAUGGAUAAUUGUGUUAUAAUUGUGUUAUAUUGUGUUAUAAUACUUGGUUUAGGGGAGGAAAAGCACAUGGAUGUAAACCAGUGGUUCUCAACUUGGGGCAGAUGAAAAUAGCAGUGGGGUCAUCCUUGAACCUUUUUCAGUAUUUCAAAAAGUAUACUAGAAAUCAUCCAUUUACCCAUAACAUUGGCUGCACAAGCCAACUAAGACAGAAUUUUUACACAUUUUGUUUAUAUUUCUUCAAUUCUAACACUGAUUAUCUGUAUUGAUCAGAAACUGUGAAUGGUGGUUAGGCUUUUAAUUAUUUUUUUAAAUGAGAAAGCCUAUUGUUAUAUGCAAUUUAAUAAAUAAAAUACUUGAAAAUAUGGGGAAAGAAUAAUAAAGGAAUCUUUAUGGCAGAAAUGUUGGGAGCCACUUUCAUAAAGGAACCGAAAUUAUUUGACCUCCACAGGUUGCUUACCUAGUCCCUAAAUAAUGAAAUGCUAAAAUGUGUGUGUGUGUUUUGGCUAGAUUGGGCUAUAUAACUUCAGGUUAGAACUUGCCUUCAGUUUUUUUCUGAUUCAGGAUGAUAUAAUUGAGCUAAUUUAUCUGGGUGUAUAUGUGUAAAUCAUACAUAUACACACAUACAGGAUUGCAAGUGUGAAAAGCAUUAUAAUGUCGUCUUCUAGCAUUGGAGUAAACACCAAUUUCUGAGUCUCAAAGUAGUUCUGUGUGUAAAGUCAACAUGAAGUCAAUUAUUGCCUUAAGCAAUAAUUUCUCAAAUGUUUCUUUUAUUCCUGCUUAUUUUGUUUGCUUUGAUCUUUGCUUAAUUUUUUAACUUUUCAUUUUAUAGUAAGCAAAUAGUAUGAAAUUGAUUUAAUGCCUGGACUUUGAAACCAGUUACAAAUGUUUGCAAUUAUAUGAUCUACAGGCUAGUUUGCCAUCCUUGAACUAACCAUGUACAAAUGCGAGUCAGCUGCAAAAACAGGAAAUCCUGCUAGAAGGUGGGCACUGAUCAAAAUAUCUGUCUGAAAAACCUAGGAUUUCUACUUUGGGGCAGAGGAUUCCUGUUGAGACAGUUUUACUAGAAAAGGGUAAAAGUGAAUAUGUCCAUUUAAGCCAAGAACUUUCACGCAUCUUUUAUUGUUGUAUAGCCUGUGGAAUGAAUCAUUUUUUCUCCCUUGAGUUCCGGAGUGACUCUCCUGGAAAAACUCAACCUAUAUACAGCUGUGCCAAAAGGAAGGAUACCUGCCUCUCUGAAACUUUCACUGCUGCUUCUGUCGUUGUUCAAUUGUCAGAUAUUAAAUUUUAUUAUCUCAGGAUGCAAAAUUACAAUAAAGUGCAAAUCUGUUAAUGAA
RNA transcript from Cervus elaphus (red deer), 7153 nucleotides. It is a transcript of the gene named cysteine rich hydrophobic domain 1, with no coding region annotated. The record is from RefSeq and is a predicted model, not a curated record. NCBI's taxonomy places the organism in Eukaryota, Metazoa, Chordata, Mammalia, Artiodactyla, Cervidae. The transcript has 8 exons.